Long non-coding RNA from Mercenaria mercenaria, 393 nucleotides. RefSeq lists it as uncharacterized. The record is from RefSeq and is a predicted model, not a curated record. The transcript has 4 exons. Lineage: Eukaryota; Metazoa; Mollusca; Bivalvia; Venerida; Veneridae.
GGGAUGCUUGGAUGUGUCCCUUCAAACCAAGUCCACGUUUAAAAUUUGCUGAAUAGCGACAUUGUUUGGGAAAAAUACUCUGGCAGAAAAGAGUCUAAACUGUGGAUAGACAUCAGUCUGACAUCUGUGUGUUUAUUUCCAUAAGUGAAGUUUGUAUCAACUGACUGAAGGAUCAGUGUUAAAGGAUAACACUACAAUGAAAACAGCUGUGAGUUGUUUCUUUUGAAAAUGACUGCUUGAUGAUAAAGUUUCAAACAACUGUGAAGUGAGUGGAUGUUCUAGAGAGACUAAUUCUUCAAAGAAUGAAUGAUCAUCAUCAUGCUUAUAUUGGAAUAAAAGGAAGGAAGUGACAGCUACAGUCAGGGUAAAAGUAAAUGCAGUCAGAAGACCUUU